AAAAUGAGAAAUCAGGAUGAACAUUCAAGGUAAAAUAUAUGGAUGUUUUGAAGGAACCAAAAUUCAUCGUCGAACCAAAAUACAUGUGCCGUGUAGACGUCAGUAUCAAAACUAUGUAUGCAGCUGUAACAAGCAAAUAAGCUUUUGCACCGAAUUUCAGAGUAUAUAAUCCACUAUAUGCUUAGAAAUCUAAUGCAAUAAUCACAUCAGCAGCUCUUUGUUGACCUACCUCCAUAAGUGAUUUGGCUAAAUUACUAGCUUACAACCUUAUUUUGAUUCACAAAACUAAGAAACUAUACCUCCCACUUUCUAAGUACAUAACUUUUUUAUUAUCUCAUCAGGCUACACUGGCAGAUGGCUUCAAUUUCUUAGGUGGGGGGUUUCCUCCGGAGACAAGCACAUAUAGAUAAAAGCAGAGCAUUGCAGAACUGCACNUCCCUUUUGGUAAGAUAAGAUAUGAUCCAUCACCUAAUCCAUGUAACUAACCCAACCCGGUGGGAAAUCCUUUGGUUAUUAUUGUUGGCAAAUAGAGAGAGACUAGUCAAACUUGUAUCACCAUUCACCAACACCAAAGUGAAAAAUAUUAUGACUGAACAGUUAAGUCGUCUAAGAGACAAGUUAUCAAAUUGGGAAGACUUACCAAAUGGAAUUCCUAAACAAAAAUCAUGAAUUAUUGCAGUCUUUUUCUGCUGAUCAACGACACCUUCCUGUGUUGCCUCUCCUAACCCUAAUUUUUCUGAUCCACUUUCUUCUAAUUUUGAAUAUGACUCCUGCUUUUCUUCGACAUUCAAUUUUGAUUCAUCAGCUGCAUAACUUAGUGUAUUUUUUGUUUCAGUAUCAGCCGUCUCUGCUUCAUGCCUCUCCAAACUCAUAGCAACUGAUAACUAUAUGAGAUAUGUUUCCUGUUUAGUAUCAAGAUCAAAAUAAUUGCAACAGAGAUCUUUCAUUUAAAAGAAUAUAUAAUACGCACAACCCUUUAACCCUAUUUAUAACGUCUAGCACUACGCCUUUUAAUCUUAGAGUGGCAUAUGCAAAAAUAAAGAUUUUACAUGAUUUCCACUAACUGCGUAUAAACAUAUAGCAGCAAGCAAAAAUAAACUAGUUGUGCAUUUCCCGAUCAUUAUAUCGUUAAUGCCAACUUGAUCGAUCAUACACACUUCCAGCACAAUUCUCACGGUUCUAACUAGAAUUACAUACAGUGAGGUAGAAGCAUAUCUGUUCAUUAAAGUUACACUUCCUGGUACUUGCCGGAAAAUAUGCCUAUGUGUGAGUGUUAAUGACUCUCAGACACUAAAUUUGAAUCAUGAAGCUAAACUAAAAUGGAUCUAUGUUAACGCCUCUUUUAAAUUUGAUUUUCCAUGAUUUCAAAGGAAAACAUAACGGUUUGAAUCCAUUAACUAUAAAAACAACAAAUUCAGAAAACCAGAUGCACAAAAGAAAGCCAAGAUCUAUGAGAUAACAAAUUCAGAACACUGUAGCUAACAGAACCACAAAUUCAACAAUAUACUACUUAGAGAUAACAAUUUUUCAUUCUAAAACCAGCUACUCAUUCAUAAAAAUUGACAAGAAUUCAGAUUUUCAAUUUCGAAGUUUCUUUAACCUGGGAGUCGUUGUAAAUAGAUCUAUGAAAAUCGAAGGCGUUCAUGUAGUUGAAAAAUUCAAUUGGAUAAACUAAAACCCUAGUAAGUCAUAAUUGAACUCAACCGUGAUCAAAGAGGAUUUCAUACAACAAAAAAACAGAGAAAACAUAAAGAUUCAAUACGAAUUUGUUUAAUUUAAUAACGAUGAUUAUCAUAUAAGUUGAAUGGAGAAAGAAAAAAGAAGAGUUUGAGAAGCCAAGAGUGGAAUGAGGACCUUGGAGUGGCGAAAGGAAAGGCAUGGAAGCGAGCGGCGUUGCUGGAUGUGUAGACUACGAUGAACGGUGGGGAAGCAGAACAACUGAGCCUGAGAUGUCGCCGCCAUGGUUGAACGGAGAAUAAUGGUUAAUUUCCCUUGGUAGCAGAGAUUUGAAUUUUUCGUUUUGGGAGAGUGAAAUGGGAAUGAGGAAAACGUUGCAGAUGUUGAAUCGUCAAAGCCGACCGUUCACGAACCUGUCCGGCGAAGUAUUUAAUUAAAAAAUAAUUAAGAAAAACAGCUGAUUCGGUUUUGUCAUCUUUGGAUGAAUAAUAUACAAGUUACCUUUUUAUUUAAUUUUAAAAAUAAUUAAAAUAUUGGGAUAUGCAUUUGAUGUAGUACCUAAGAAUCCUUUCCACACACUUUUGGAUCUUGUUUUACUAUAUCAAUAAAUAAAUAAUAAUUAAUUAUGCUCACGUUAAUUUUUUGAGUUAAAUAUUUUAGAUUUUUGAAGUGUUUUUCUAUCGUGCAUAUAGUUUGUUUUAAAUACAAUUUAUAAAUAUUAAAUUUCAUUUAAUCUUAGUUAUUAAAGUUAUAUUCAGAGUAAAAACUGCAGAUUUUCAGUAGAUUUUUUUUAGAUUUUUCUGUGAAUUUUUUUAAUUUUAAAAAUAAAAUUAAAAAUAUUUUGAUAUUAUUUUAGAAAAUAUAUAAAUGGCGAAAAUCAAAAAUACAUCAAAUUACGGGAAUAAAAGAUUAUAUAAGUCUAUAUUUUAUAAUAAAUAACAAAUAUUAUUGUUUAAAUGCAGCAGAAAUUAAAUACUUUUAUACAUAAAGAAUAUUGAUAUAUUUAAUUAAUACUGUACUAUUUAUAAAUUAUUUUUAAAAACCUAUCUACGAUUGUUCUUGGUCUUGGCACGGCUCCUUAUAUAUACUAAAUGAAUUCAAAAAUUUAUGCAUUUGGUUUUAUUGAAAAAUGCUUAACUUAUUUUACUUAAAUGUUUUUUCUAUGCACGCGUCAUUUAGAUGUUCUUGUGUAGUUGAAUUUUGAUUAGGUAAACUGAAUCAUGAGAAACCUAUUUUUUAGUUUUUUUUUAAAAUGUAAUAUUCAAAUACUUUCUCCUCCCUCUCCCUAUGUCUCAUAAAAGUGUUAUAUUGUAUGAUUGUUAAAGAAAAUGAUAUGGGUUGAUUUUAAUGAUAAAUCUAGUAUUAUUUAUUAAAAUAUUUUUAUUAAUUAUAGUUAAUAAAGUAGUUAAAAAAUGAAAGUUAAUAAAUAAGGGUAUAGUAAUAAGAGAAAAAUAAAUAAAUGUUAUAUUGAUAUUAUAAAAGAAUAAUUGUUUUAAGGGAAAAAAAAUGCAAAUAAGAUAUUUUUUAUGAAAUGGUGGAAGUAUGAAUCAUGGUGAAACCCGCAUGCACGAAUCAUGGCAUUAGUGACAACAUGACCAUCAAUGUCAUUUCCUCUUAAAAAAAGAAGAAUGAAUCAUGGCAUUCGUGACAACAUGACCAUCAAUGUCAUUUCCUCUUAAAAAAGAAGAAUGUGUAAUAGGACUGUUUCCACAAAGUGAAUCAAACAUUUAAAUAUAGGUAUUGGGGUUUGACAACGGUCAAUUUGAGUUGGGCUCGGGCCCAAAAUGCCAAACCGUUUGAAACCUUGGAUGCAAUUACAAGGCUCAAUUUCGACUGAAAUUUAAAUCGGUUUAAAUGGUUUAUGAUUACAAUGGAUCGGAUUGUAGAGUUAAUUUUUAUUUAAUUGUCAUAAAAAAUUUCAGUUACAUUUUAACUUUUU
Molecule: long non-coding RNA, 3616 nt
Filed under: Lathyrus oleraceus (garden pea)
Lineage: Eukaryota; Viridiplantae; Streptophyta; Magnoliopsida; Fabales; Fabaceae
Description: Pisum sativum (pea) long non-coding RNA (PSAT_LNC040117)
Source: RNAcentral